RNAcentral lists this ribosomal RNA (643 nucleotides) under uncultured bacterium. RNAcentral describes it as "bacterial SSU rRNA". It matches the Rfam family "Bacterial small subunit ribosomal RNA", at positions 232 to 885 of the family's 1533-position model. The record is from RNAcentral.
CGCGGCCUAUCAGCUUGUUGGUGGGGUGAUGGCCUACCAAGGCGACGACGGGUAGCCGGCCUGAGAGGGUGACCGGCCACACUGGGACUGAGAUACGGCCCAGACUCCUACGGGAGGCAGCAGUGGGGAAUAUUGCACAAUGGGCGCAAGCCUGAUGCAGCGACGCCGCGUGAGGGAUGACGGCCUUCGGGUUGUAAACCUCUUUCGCCAGGGACGAAGCGCAAGUGACGGUACCUGGAGAAGAAGGACCGGCCAACUACGUGCCAGCAGCCGCGGUAAUACGUAGGGUCCGAGCGUUGUCCGGAAUUACUGGGCGUAAAGAGCUCGUAGGUGGUUUGUCGCGUUGUUCGUGAAAACUCACAGCUCAACUGUGGGCGUGCGGGCGAUACGGGCAGACUGGAGUACUGCAGGGGAGACUGGAAUUCCUGGUGUAGCGGUGGAAUGCGCAGAUAUCAGGAGGAACACCGGUGGCGAAGGCGGGUCUCUGGGCAGUAACUGACGCUGAGGAGCGAAAGCGUGGGGAGCGAACAGGAUUAGAUACCCUGGUAGUCCACGCCGUAAACGGUGGGUACUAGGUGUGGGUUUCCUUCCUUGGGAUCCGUGCCGUAGCUAACGCAUUAAGUACCCCGCCUGGGGAGUACGG